GAUGAACGCUGGCGGCGUGCUUAACACAUGCAAGUCGAACGAUGAAGCCCAGCUUGCUGGGUGGAUUAGUGGCGAACGGGUGAGUAACACGUGAGUAACCUGCCCUUGACUCUGGGAUAAGCCUGGGAAACUGGGUCUAAUACCGGAUAGGAGCGCCUGUCGCAUGACGGGUGUUGGAAAGAUUUUUCGGUCAUGGAUGGACUCGCGGCCUAUCAGCUUGUUGGUGAGGUAAUGGCUCACCAAGGCGACGACGGGUAGCCGGCCUGAGAGGGUGACCGGCCACACUGGGACUGAGACACGGCCCAGACUCCUACGGGAGGCAGCAGUGGGGAAUAUUGCACAAUGGGCGGAAGCCUGAUGCAGCGACGCCGCGUGAGGGAUGACGGCCUUCGGGUUGUAAACCUCUUUCAGUAGGGAAGAAGCGAAAGUGACGGUACCUGCAGAAGAAGCACCGGCUAACUACGUG
This 466-nucleotide ribosomal RNA is filed under the name uncultured bacterium. RNAcentral describes it as "partial 16S ribosomal RNA". It matches the Rfam family "Bacterial small subunit ribosomal RNA", at positions 28 to 507 of the family's 1533-position model. The record is from RNAcentral.